Molecule: non-coding RNA, 136 nt
Organism: Hordeum vulgare subsp. vulgare (domesticated barley)
Lineage: Eukaryota; Viridiplantae; Streptophyta; Magnoliopsida; Poales; Poaceae
Source: Rfam
CUUAUACUCCCUUCAUCCCAAAAUUCUUGUCUUAACUUUGUUUGAAAAUGGAUGUAUCUAAAUACUAAAACUUGACUAGAUAUAUUCAUAUCUAAACAAAUCUAAGACAAAAAUUUUGGGACGGAGGGAGUNNNNN